UAGCACAGCGGAACGAGUGGUUGAGCCUGCAUCCGACUCGAACGAAAUGGCACCGUCACCCACAAAGCGUAAGGAGGAGGAAAAGUCAAAGGACAGGGGAAAAGAGAAGACUGCCACUAAGGAAGGGGGGGACAAGGAGAGAGGCAGGGAGAAGGGCCACAAACGACGCAGUGCAUCCACUGGGAGCAGCAGCAGGUGAGAUGCCACCAAUUGCUCUUUCAGAUUCUGUACAGUCUUUAACUACCUCAAACAGUGCUUUAGGACACACUAGCUAGGUCUUUUCACGCUAAGCCAAGCUGGAAUGCCCUAUGUUCCAACGUGGGCCAAGAGGUUAAGAGAUGGUACUUCCCUGUUUUACUCAGUUUCCUUCGAUUGUGUGCCUAAUGAACACAACCCUUGUUGCUGGCCUGUUUGUGUAUGUAUAUCUAUACUACCCAGCUCCAGCAGCAGCUCUGGCUCCAGCUCUGGUUCCUCCAGCGGCUCUAGUUCCUCUGGCACCAGCCGCUCUGGGUCUUCCCGGUCCAGCUCCUCCAGCUCAUCUAGUUCCUCUGGGUCACCCGACCCCGGCCGCCGCCGCCACGACAACCGUCGCCGCUCCCGCUCCGCGUCCAAAACACAGAAGAAGGGAGAUGACAAGGAGCGAAGGAGAAGGAGCCCGAGCCCCAAGCCCACCAAAGUUCACUUAGGAAGACUGACCAGAAAUGUGACCAAGGACCACAUCCAGGAGAUCUUUGCCACCUACGGCAAGAUCAAGAUGAUUGACAUGCCAGUGGAGAGGCUCCACCCAAACCUGUCCCGGGGCUACGCCUAUGUGGAGUUCGAGACUCCAGAGGAGGCCCAGAAGGCCCUGAAACACAUGGAUGGUGGUACGAGGGCAUCUUGGGCACGUUCAUUAGGCCACAGCGUAGUAGAAUGUUGUGCAAAUGAAAAUGAGCAAUUCUUAUUGGACAUGUUCAGAUGGUUCCUCUUGGUUUCCGGUUGUUUUGUGCCUACUGAACACAAUCUUGUAGACUGUAACAAUAACAGACCUGGUACAUACUUUUUUGAGCUACAAGUAAUACAUUCCCAAUGUAGCCAAUUAAACCUGGCUGUUGCACAAACAGCACGUGACUGGAGAUUAGCUGUGAGAGGCUUUUUCAUUUUCUCCCAGUCGAUGCAUGACUCACGAAGGGUAAACGCUGAAAGUGGUUUGUGCAUCGUCUGUGAUGCCAUCUUCCGGUGGAGCAGCUAAAAACCUACAAUGACGGCGUUGUUUUAUGCGAACGCUACGUCCCCAAUGUAUCAUCUCAGUGCAGAGCCUAACACCUUGUACUGCUGGCUAACACCUUGUACUGCUGGCUAGCCCCUUGUACUGCUGGCUAGCCCCUUGUACUGCUGGCUAGCCCCUUGUACUGCUGGCUAGCCCCUUGUACUGCUGGCUAGCCCCUUGUACUGCUGGCUAGCCCCUUGUACUGCUGGCUAGCCCCUUGUACUGCUGGCUAGCCCCUUGUACUGCUGGCUAGCCCCUUGUACUGCUGGCUAGCCCCUUGUACUGCUGGCUAGCCCCUUGUACUGCUGGCUAACCCCUUGUACUGCUGGCUAACCCCUUGUACUGCUGGCUAUCCCCUUGUACUGCUGGCUAACCCCUUGUACUGCUGGCUAUCCCCUUGUACUGCUGGCUAUCCCCUUGUACUGCUGGCUAACCCCUUGUACUGCUGGCUAACCCCUUGUACUGCUGGCUAACCCCUUGUACUGCUGGCUAUCCCCUUGUACUGCUGGCUAUCCCCUUGUACUGCUGGCUAUCCCCUUGUACUGCUGGCUAUCCCCUUGUACUGCUGGCUAACCCCAUGUACUGCUGGCUAGCCCCUUGUACUGCUGGCUAACCCCAUGUACUGCUGGCUAGCCCCUUGUACUGCUGGCUAGCCCCUUGUACUGCUGGCUAGCCCCUUGUACUGCUGGCUAGCCCCUUGUACUGCUGGCUAGCCCCUUGUACUGCUGGCUAGCCCCUUGUACUGCUGGCUAGCCCCUUGUACUGCUGGCUAGCCCCUUGUACUGCUUUGUGUCAGUCUGAAAUCUCAAUGUCCUGGAGUUUAUAUACAUUUUAACAGAGAUGUUUCUAGUAUGACGUUGAGGUUUGUGCAUCUUUCUGUUGCUCCCAGGUCAGAUUGAUGGUCAGGAGAUCACCACCUCUGCCGUGUUGGCUCCAAGGAUACGCCCUGCCCCUCGUAGACAGUCACCCCCACGCAGAAUGCCCCCACCUCCCCCCAUGUGGCGCCGCACCCCACCUCGCAUGAGGAGAAGGUCUCGGUCACCAAGGAGACGGUCCCCGGUGCGCCGACGCUCCAGGUCCCCGGGGCGCAGACGUCAUCGUUCCCGCUCCAGUUCCAACUCCUCACGGUAGAGGAACAAUGCUAUCCCCCUGCCCGCCCACCCCAACAACCCAGGGUGAAUGUAUUUUCCAUAAUUUCUUGCAUCCUGUCUCUUCCUUAAAAUGCAUUGGAGGACAAAAUAGGAAUGUACCUUCUCAUCCAAUGUGCUUUGAGGUGGUGAGAAGAGAGGAUGAAAGGAAUCAAGGAAAUACAAUUGAGCUUGUACCUAAAAAGAAUUUGUCUGAAGUGAACAGUCUAGUUGUUUUGUUUGUCUCAUUACGUUUUUCCAGUUUUCAUUUUAAGGUUCCCAAACAGUCGUUCAGAUUACUUGUUGAUCGUCAUGUCCUUUGUUAUCCAAUCAGAGCUCAGGCUUUGUUUUAGUACUAAUGAUUUGCUCAAGAUGUGUAGCCUGUCUUUUUACCACCGUGUACUGAUUUUGUACAUGCUUUGAAAAUAAAAAGGAAGAAACUUCAACCUCAAA
This is an RNA transcript of Oncorhynchus kisutch (coho salmon), 2829 nucleotides long. It is a transcript of the gene named RNA-binding protein with serine-rich domain 1, with no coding region annotated. NCBI's taxonomy places the organism in Eukaryota, Metazoa, Chordata, Actinopteri, Salmoniformes, Salmonidae. The record is from RefSeq and is a predicted model, not a curated record. The transcript has 5 exons.